Molecule: transfer RNA, 83 nt
Filed under: Candidatus Desantisbacteria bacterium CG1_02_49_89
Lineage: Bacteria; Candidatus Desantisiibacteriota
Also listed under: 3 other names
Description: tRNA-Leu
Rfam family: tRNA
About the family: Transfer RNA (tRNA) molecules are approximately 80 nucleotides in length.
Source: RNAcentral
GCCGGAGUGGCGGAAUGGUAUACGCGGUGGACUCAAAAUCCACUGUCCGAAAGGUCUUGAGAGUUCAAAUCUCUCCUCCGGCA